AGAGACUUAGGAUAAUAUUCAGACCAAGGGCCUUCAAAGCCCUCAGUAGGAGUGAAAAUCUCCUAGUCCCUG
Molecule: transfer RNA, 72 nt
Filed under: Hollardia hollardi
Lineage: Eukaryota; Metazoa; Chordata; Actinopteri; Tetraodontiformes; Triacanthodidae
Description: tRNA-Trp
Rfam family: tRNA
About the family: Transfer RNA (tRNA) molecules are approximately 80 nucleotides in length.
Source: RNAcentral